RNAcentral lists this ribosomal RNA (301 nucleotides) under uncultured bacterium. Its description in RNAcentral is "partial 16S ribosomal RNA". It matches the Rfam family "Bacterial small subunit ribosomal RNA", at positions 509 to 807 of the family's 1533-position model. The record is from RNAcentral.
CAGUCGCCGCGGGAAUACAGAGGGUGCGAGCGUUAAUCGGAUUUACUGGGCGUAAAGCGUGCGUAGGCGGCUUUUUAAGUCGGAUGUGAAAUCCCUGAGCUUAACUUAGGAAUUGCAUUCGAUACUGGGAAGCUAGAGUAUGGGAGAGGAUGGUAGAAUUUCAGGUGUAGCGGUGAAAUGCGUAGAGAUCUGGAGGAAUACCGAUGGCGAAGGCAGCCAUCUGGACUAAUACUGACGCUGAGGUACGAAAGCAUGGGGAGCAAACAGGAUUAGAUACCCCUGUAGUCCCUGUCUCUUAUAC